AGGAGAGUACAACAGCCAUUAGAGGGAGAUGAGAAAGGAGAAAGGAGAAAGGAAGAGAAACAAAGAGAAAGGAAGAGCAACGACCCAAUCGAGGGCCACUCGCAGCUAACGUCGCGUGAAUUGACACACGCGGUAGACAUCCUGGUGCAGCUGUCCGACUGGUGCAUGGAAUAGGCUCUUGAUGAAUUUUCGUUGCGAGUUGGGUCACGAAAUGUCUAACAUGACAAAUAUCAUUGUUGAUGCUGAUGGCAACUAGCUAGAGCGAUGGAGAGGACUUUUCAAAUGGUGUUUCUGGGACAGUUUCCCUUUCCUUUUCUGGCCAGUUAAUGAACUUGGAUGUGUGACUUCAAGUCUUCAACCAACUAUGGCAGAUUCCUUUCCAAGUAUAUGUAAAAUAAUGAAGGUUGUGUUAUAUGAGAGAAUCUUCGAUCGUCAUCGAGCAAAUUAUGCAAAUAAAUGGAAUAUUGUUCA
Molecule: RNA transcript, 471 nt
Organism: Fragaria vesca subsp. vesca
Lineage: Eukaryota; Viridiplantae; Streptophyta; Magnoliopsida; Rosales; Rosaceae
Exons: 3
Source: RefSeq, a predicted model, not a curated record